UUCAAUGGAGGGUCAGAAAGCUCUCAGACUAAAUCUAAAAUAUCUUAAACUGUGUUUCGAAGAUGAACGGAGGUCUUACCCUCAUGUCGUUCCAAACUCGUGAGUCAUUAAUUACAUUAUUUUCAUUUUUGGGUGAACUCUCCCUUUAAUUACAUGCUCAUACUUUAAUUAUGCCUGAUAAGAAUUUGUAAUAUUUGUGUUUAAACAUUUUUCGAAUUUUAAUCCUUGUUUUUAAAUGGCCAUGACAGUGACAAAAAGGAAGCAGCCUUCUCUAGCCCACCCAAGUUUCCAUCAAAGGAGCAAGCCUAUGACAGUAAGAAGAAAGCUGGCUAACCCUCCCACCCCUUGUUUAACUCCUCCAGCCCAUCCCACAUCAUUGUAGAGUGAAGAGACUGCGGUUAAUAUUCAGAAAGAGGCGCAGAGAACUGAAGGCUUUCCUGACUUGACACCGAAUAAUAACGAAGGCCUGUGUGCUUUGCAGCAGCCUCCACGUCACCCUCUUCCAGUGCUCCGUCAGAGGACUAACGAUAUGCCACAAGAUGAUUGGCAGCAAGACACACCCAGUGAUGAAGGGAUGUGCUCUCCUUAAAUCACAGCCUAUUCAUCAGGUACUCCUGAGUGCUGUGUUAAGAAAUCCUGCCUACAAAGUUCCACUGAGGCUGAUAUAAAGAUGACUGUGAGAAACUGGCUGCGGCUGUCUGAGCAGAGACAGGAAUGGGGGCGGCAAAGGCGGGACAAGCAAGCAUCUUAAGUGAAAUAAUUGAUUGGACUGAUUCUGGAGUAUGACUUAUUCUGGAGGGAAUUUCUUAUUUUUGUUGCAGUUUGCUAUGGGACGGUUUCAAGGACAGGGAUUAGACUAGUUCUAGACUAAAAUAAAUGUAAGAGCUGUCCAAACUGAAAACAACUUGCACUGACAUAUCAUAAAAUACAUCAGUGUCUUUUGUGAUGCUUCAAAAUGCACACAAGUAAUGUUUUUAUUAAGACAUGUUAUUAAAACUAGUUAUAUUUCAGAAUUAAACUAAGGCCUAGUCCCGGUUUAAGAUAAUCCCUGUCCGGGAAACCACCCCAAAGUGUAAUUUGUGGAGUGUUAAAAUAAAUGAAACUGCCUUUGCAAAAACAAAGUAAAAAAAAAUUUCCAGAUGCC
Misgurnus anguillicaudatus (oriental weatherfish) is the source of this 1144-nucleotide non-coding RNA. NCBI's taxonomy places the organism in Eukaryota, Metazoa, Chordata, Actinopteri, Cypriniformes, Cobitidae. The record is from RefSeq and is a predicted model, not a curated record.